CCUACGGGUGGCAGCAGUGGGGAAUAUUGCACAAUGGGGGAAACCCUGAUGCAGCGACGCCGCGUGAAGGAAGAAGUAUUUCGGUAUGUAAACUUCUAUCAGCAGGGACAAAAAUCACGGUACCUGUCUCAUAAGCCCCGUCUAACUACGUUCCAGCAGCCGCGGUAAGACGUAGGGGGCCAGCGUUAUCCGGAUUUACUGGGUGUUAAGGGAGCGUAGACGGGUUAGCAAGUCAGUUGUGAAAGUCCGGGGCUCAACUCCGAGAUUGCCUUUGAAACUGUUGAACUUGAUUGCAGGUGAGGUAAGUGGAAUUCGUAGUGUAGCGGUGAAAUGCGUAGAUAUUAGGAGGAACCCCGGUGGCGAAGGCGGCUUACUGGACUGUAAAUGACGCUGAGGCUCGAAAGCGUGGGGAGCAAACAGGAUUAGAUACCCUUGUAGUC
Molecule: ribosomal RNA, 440 nt
Filed under: uncultured bacterium
Lineage: Bacteria
Description: partial 16S ribosomal RNA
Rfam family: Bacterial small subunit ribosomal RNA
Source: RNAcentral